Molecule: ribosomal RNA, 428 nt
Filed under: uncultured prokaryote
Description: bacterial SSU rRNA
Rfam family: Bacterial small subunit ribosomal RNA
Source: RNAcentral
UGGGGAAUAUUGGACAAUGGGCGGAAGCCUGAUCCAGCCAUGCCGCGUGUGUGAAGAAGGCCUUUUGGUUGUAAAGCACUUUAAGCGAGGAGGAGGCUACUUAGAUUAAUACUCUAGGAUAGUGGACGUUACUCGCAGAAUAAGCACCGGCUAACUCUGUGCCAGCAGCCGCGGUAAUACAGAGGGUGCGAGCGUUAAUCGGAUUUACUGGGCGUAAAGCGUGCGUAGGCGGCUGAUUAAGUCGGAUGUGAAAUCCCUGAGCUUAACUUAGGAAUUGCAUUCGAUACUGGUCAGCUAGAGUAUGGGAGAGGAUGGUAGAAUUCCAGGUGUAGCGGUGAAAUGCGUAGAGAUCUGGAGGAAUACCGAUGGCGAAGGCAGCCAUCUGGCCUAAUACUGACGCUGAGGUACGAAAGCAUGGGGAGCAAACA